GCAACGAGCGCAACCUUAUCCUGUGUUACCAGCGUCGAAAGACGGGGACUCACAGGAGACUGCCGCCGACAAGGCGGAGGAAGGCGGGGAUGACGUCAAGUCAUCAUGCCCUUAUGUCCUGGGCUACACACGUACUACAAUGGGUGCGAACAGAGGGCAGCAAUCCCGCGAGGGGGAGCCAAUCCCACAAAAGCACUCUCAGUUCGGAUCGCAGGCUGCAACCCGCCUGCGUGAAGUCGGAAUCGCUAGUAAUCGCAGAUCAGCAGGCUCGCGGUCGAAUACGUUCCGGGCCUU
This 294-nucleotide ribosomal RNA is filed under the name uncultured Thermosinus sp. RNAcentral's name for it is "partial 16S ribosomal RNA". It matches the Rfam family "Bacterial small subunit ribosomal RNA", at positions 1089 to 1382 of the family's 1533-position model. The record is from RNAcentral. Lineage: Bacteria; Bacillati; Bacillota; Negativicutes; Selenomonadales; Sporomusaceae.